Non-coding RNA from Salmo salar (Atlantic salmon), 72 nucleotides. NCBI's taxonomy places the organism in Eukaryota, Metazoa, Chordata, Actinopteri, Salmoniformes, Salmonidae. The record is from Rfam.
GACAUGGUGGCCAAGUGGUAAGGCGUUGGUCUUGUAAACCGAAUAUAAUGGGUUCAAAUCUCUUCUGUGCCU